Molecule: ribosomal RNA, 253 nt
Filed under: uncultured bacterium
Lineage: Bacteria
Description: partial 16S ribosomal RNA
Rfam family: Bacterial small subunit ribosomal RNA
Source: RNAcentral
UACGUAGGGGGCAAGCGUUGUCCGGAAUUAUUGGGCGUAAAGCGCGUGUAGGCGGCUUGUUAAGUUGGUUGUGAAAACCCAUGGCUCAACCAUGGAAGUGCGUCCAAAACUGGCAAGCUAGAGUUCUGACGAGGAUGGCGGAAUUCCCGGUGUAGUGGUGAAAUGCGUAGAUAUCAGGAGGAACACCGGUGGCGAAGGCGGGUCUCUGGGCCGAUACUGACGCUGAGGAGCGAAAGCGUGGGGAGCGAACAGG